UGGCGGCAGGCCUACACAUGCUUGAUCGAGCGAGGACUUCGGUCCUAGCGGCGGACGGGUGAGUAACGCGUGACGUGCCCUUUGCUUCGGAAUAGUCCUGGGAAACUGGGGGUAAUACCGAAUGUGCCCUGAGGGGGAAAGAUUUAUCGGCAAAGGAUCGGCCCGCGUUGGAUUAGGUAGUUGGUGGGGUAAUGGCCUACCAAGCCGACGAUCCAUAGCUGGUUUGAGAGGAUGAUCAGCCACACUGGGACUGAGACACGGCCCAGACUCCUACGGGAGGCAGCAGUGAGGAAUAUUCCGCAAUGGGCGAAAGCCUGACGGAGCAACGCCGCGUGAGGGAUGAAGGCCUACGGGUUGUAAACCUCUUUUUCCAAGGAGGAAGAUCUGACGUUACUUGGAGAAUAAGCAUCGGCUAACCCUGUGCCAGCAGCCGCGGUAAUACAGGGGAUGCAAGUGUUAUCCGGAUUCAUUGGGCGUAAAGCGUCUACAG
This 490-nucleotide ribosomal RNA is filed under the name uncultured Rhodobacter sp. Its description in RNAcentral is "bacterial SSU rRNA". It matches the Rfam family "Bacterial small subunit ribosomal RNA", at positions 37 to 574 of the family's 1533-position model. Lineage: Bacteria; Pseudomonadati; Pseudomonadota; Alphaproteobacteria; Rhodobacterales. The record is from RNAcentral.